This 392-nucleotide long non-coding RNA is filed under the name Nicotiana benthamiana. Its description in RNAcentral is "long non-coding RNA (NBEN_LNC020224)". Lineage: Eukaryota; Viridiplantae; Streptophyta; Magnoliopsida; Solanales; Solanaceae. The record is from RNAcentral.
CAAUUAUCACAACAUAUCAACUCGCCACCAUCACCACAUCGCCCGCAACUGUCAUCAUUUUGGUCCCUUUCCUCAGCUUGGCCAGUUUGAGGAACAGCUCUUCGUGCCUUGUAUUCAUCUGACCACGCCUCAAGCUGACAUAAGGUAAACGGCUUACCAGACUCCAUGAAAAGAUUCAAACAGGGACGAUUGAGAGCUCUCCGUGCCUUGUAUUCAUCUGACCAAGCCUCAAGCUGACAUAAGGUAAAUGGCUUACCAGACUCCAUGAAAAGAUUCAAACAGGGACGAUUGAGCUUAAAACCAGCAUGACUUUUGAACUCAGAGAUGGAUAGCACCUUGUCACAGCAAUUGCAGAAUAUUCCAUCCCUAGUUAUUACGCCGGUUUUUACCAC